This 446-nucleotide ribosomal RNA is filed under the name uncultured bacterium. Its description in RNAcentral is "partial 16S ribosomal RNA". It matches the Rfam family "Bacterial small subunit ribosomal RNA", at positions 338 to 795 of the family's 1533-position model. The record is from RNAcentral.
CCUACGGGCGGCAGCAGUCGAGAAUCAUUCACAAUGGGGGAAACCCUGAUGGUGCGACGCCGCGUGGGGGAAUGCAGGUCUUCGGAUUGUACACCCCUGUCAUGUGGGAGCAAAUUAAAAAGAUAGUACCACAAGAGGAAGAGACGGCUAACUCUGUGCCAGCAGCUCCGGUAAUACAGAGGUCUCAAGCGUUGUUCGGAAUCACUGGGCGUAAAGCGUGCGUAGGCUGUUUCGUAAGUCGUGUGUGAAAGGCGCGGGCUCAACCCGCGGACGGCACAUGAUACUGCGAGACUAGAGUAAUGGAGGGGGAACCGGAAUUCGCGGUGUAGCAGUGAAAUGCGUAGAUAUCGAGAGGAACACUCGUGGCGAAGGCGGGUUCCUGGACAUUAACUGACGCUGAGGCACGAAGGCCAGGGGAGCGAAAGGGAUUAGAUACCCUUGUAGUC